Molecule: long non-coding RNA, 988 nt
Filed under: Hordeum vulgare
Lineage: Eukaryota; Viridiplantae; Streptophyta; Magnoliopsida; Poales; Poaceae
Description: long non-coding RNA (HVUL_LNC006175)
Source: RNAcentral
GAGAAUUGAUUACAUCACUUCGUUCACAUUGUGUAGGAUAAGAUUGCCCAACAUAGAUACAAAGACAUGAAAGCUUGGGAAGGCAAAUUCUUCAAACUAGAUCAUUGUUGGGAGUUGCUUCAAAAGUACGAGAAGUGGAAGUUGAUCGACAAAGAAUCUUUGUUGCUCGCCAAAGAGAACAAGAUCAUGUCAAUGAACCGCAAUGACAUGGACGACCUCACCAAAACAUGGCAUGAUAUGGCAAGGAGAGAGAUCUUGAAGAGGAGAAUGGUCUUUUCUGCUCCAUAUGGUGGCAAUGCCGAUGAAUUUCAAGAUGGACUCGAUGGCAUGGUGUGAAGAUGGACCAAGAUGAUGCAAGACCCUCUUUUGCGUUUGUCGUACUGAACUUGGCUUUUAUUGGCGCGUAAAACUGUGUUAUGUUUGUUUGAAUUUGAACUUAUUUAUGAUAACUUAUGUCAAAUGCGAGAAUUGAGAAAUUUUCUACUAGUAUGCCGCAUUCACUUUCACUUCAUAUUUCUAAGAAGCACUAAUUGCUUGACCACAUCUAAAAGAAUAUCCUUUCAGAGAAAUGAUGCCAUGCACAAGAAGCCUCCCCGUUCAUCAUUAUCGCUGUGCCCCUGAACUAUAUAUCUAUCUCACAUGUGCCAUGUCUUUUGAUCUUUGUUCCUACAAUUACUUCGAAACUGCUUUGUGUUCGAUCAUUUUUCAUCCGACACUUGUACGACUAGACGGUGAAUACAUUAUGGCCCACAGUCUGAAUCGUCUUUGACCGUGCCAAUGUUGGAUGGCAAUUUGUCGAGUAUUGCGCUGUUGCAACCAGUAUACCUGAACAAUAUUAUGGCUGAAGUAUUAGUUCUGCUAUCAAUAGCACUGUUGAGAAGAUUAGCAACUACAUACUUCGUUUCAUUGGCUUUCAACAUUUCGGAGAAAAGAGCCUGCCUGUUUGCUUCUGCAUCCGGGAUUUUACCUUUUAUUUAUUGGGUUGCGC